This 497-nucleotide ribosomal RNA is filed under the name uncultured bacterium. Its description in RNAcentral is "partial 16S ribosomal RNA". It matches the Rfam family "Bacterial small subunit ribosomal RNA", at positions 28 to 507 of the family's 1533-position model. The record is from RNAcentral.
GAUGAACGCUGGCGGCGUGCCUAAUACAUGCAAGUCGAGCGAACGGACGAGAAGCUUGCUUUUCUGAUGUUAGCGACGGGCGGGUGAGUAACACGUGGAUAACCUACCUAUAAGACUGGGAUAACUUCGGGAAACCGGAGCUAAUACCGGAUAAUAUUUUGAACCGCAUGGUUCAAAAGUGAAAGACGGUCUUGCUGUCACUUAUAGAUGGAUCCGCGCUGCAUUAGCUAGUUGGUAAGGUAACGGCUUACCAAAGCAACGAUGCAUAGCCGACCUGAGAGGGUGAUCGGCCACACGGGAACUGAGACACGGUCCAGACUCCUACGGGAGGCAGCAGUAGGGAAUUUUCCGCAAUGGGCGAAAGCCUGACGGAGCAACGCCGCGUGAGUGAUGAAGGUCUUCGGAUCGUAAAACUCUGUUAUUAGGGAAGAACAUAUGUGUAAGUAACUGUGCACAUCUUGACGGUACCUAAUCAGAAAGCCACGGCUAACUACGUG